CCUACGGGGGGCUGCAGUGGGGAAUAUUGGACAAUGGGGGCAACCCUGAUCCAGCCAUGCCGCGUGUGUGAAGAAGGCCCUCGGGUUGUAAAGCACUUUCAGUGAGGAAGAACGCCUGGUGGUUAAUACCCAUCAGGAAAGACAUCACUCACAGAAGAAGCACCGGCUAACUCCGUGCCAGCAGCCGCGGUAAUACGGAGGGUGCGAGCGUUAAUCGGAAUUACUGGGCGUAAAGCGCGCGUAGGUGGCUUGAUAAGCCGGUUGUGAAAGCCCCGGGCUCAACCUGGGAACGGCAUCCGGAACUGUCCAGCUAGAGUGCAGGAGAGGAAGGUAGAAUUCCCGGUGUAGCGGUGAAAUGCGUAGAGAUCGGGAGGAAUACCAGUGGCGAAGGCGGCCUUCUGGACUGACACUGACACUGAGGUGCGAAAGCGUGGGUAGCAAACAGGAUUAGAUACCCGGGUAGUC
This 465-nucleotide ribosomal RNA is filed under the name Vreelandella stevensii. Its description in RNAcentral is "partial 16S ribosomal RNA". It matches the Rfam family "Bacterial small subunit ribosomal RNA", at positions 338 to 795 of the family's 1533-position model. Lineage: Bacteria; Pseudomonadati; Pseudomonadota; Gammaproteobacteria; Oceanospirillales; Halomonadaceae. The record is from RNAcentral.